CGUAGUUCAGUUGGUAGAGCGCCAGAUUGUGGUUCUGGUUGUCGAGGGUUCGAGUCCCUCCG
RNAcentral lists this transfer RNA (62 nucleotides) under bovine gut metagenome. It matches the Rfam family "tRNA", at positions 6 to 65 of the family's 71-position model. From Rfam's summary of the family: Transfer RNA (tRNA) molecules are approximately 80 nucleotides in length. The record is from RNAcentral.